RNAcentral lists this ribosomal RNA (460 nucleotides) under uncultured bacterium. RNAcentral's name for it is "partial 16S ribosomal RNA". It matches the Rfam family "Bacterial small subunit ribosomal RNA", at positions 338 to 795 of the family's 1533-position model. The record is from RNAcentral.
CCUACGGGCGGCAGCAGUGAGGAAUAUUGGUCAAUGGACGAGAGUCUGAACCAGCCAAGUAGCGUGAAGGAUGACUGCCCUAUGGGUUGUAAACUUCUUUUAUAUGGGAAUAAAAUGUUCCACGUGUGGGAUUUUGUAUGUACCAUAUGAAUAAGGAUCGGCUAACUCCGUGCCAGCAGCCGCGGUAAUACGGAGGAUCCGAGCGUUAUCCGGAUUUAUUGGGUUUAAAGGGAGCGUAGGUGGAUUGUUAAGUCAGUUGUGAAAGUUUGCGGCUCAACCGUAAAAUUGCAGUUGAAACUGGCAGUCUUGAGUACAGUAGAGGUGGGCGGAAUUCGUGGUGGAGCGGUGAAAUGCUUAGAUAUCACGAAGAACUCCGAUUGCGAAGGCAGUUCACUGGACUGCAACUGACACUGAGGCUCGAAAGUGUGGGUAUCAAACAGGAUUAGAUACCCCAGUAGUC